Molecule: long non-coding RNA, 5031 nt
Filed under: Physcomitrium patens
Lineage: Eukaryota; Viridiplantae; Streptophyta; Bryopsida; Funariales; Funariaceae
Description: long non-coding RNA (PPAT_LNC011625)
Source: RNAcentral
UUGUUAGGGAUAUCCCAUAAGGUUAGGUGCUGGUCUAUAGUGCAUUAGAGUACAAGGGGAGGGCUGGUCCUAGGAGAUAUCUCAUAUGGGUUGUAGCACUUGGUACCUUGGUACUAGUCUAUAAGGAAAGGGUUGGCAUGGGAAGAAUUAUCUCAUACCACACUCUAUUUGUUAAAGUGCAACCUUGCUAGUCCUAACUUACUUGUAUGGAGUAUGCUUUCUAUGUUUCAACAGGUUAUGGGCCCACAUUCUCUUACCAAGUAAGUUGUUCUUGCAUUAUUUCUUUGUUGCUUGUUUUUGGUGGUUGAGAUCUUAUGGUAGAGUGUUGCUAGUGAAUUGUUGAAGUCAUUGCUCCUGGAUUUGUGAGUGUAUGAGCUUAGUGCAAGACCUUGAUAGUGUCUUUGCUGAAGGAGCACUAGUAUUUGAGAGUUUUAUGAGAAAGUGAGUCAUUUUGAGUGAAGUGACGUAAGAGAGACGUUUGAAAGUCAUAAAAUCACAUUACAAACCAUUCUCCACCAUUUAGACGUAAUUUGGACUCAAAAUAUGCAAAAAGUUGCAAAACAGCGAAUUCUGGGUUUGUAGUUCAGCAAUCUUUAAGUAGUCAUAUCUUUUGCAUUACAACUCCAAAUCAAGAGUUUUUUGGACCUACUUGUAGCUUGAGAUGGCGUCUUUUGAGGGUGAUAGCUUAAGAGUUGUUGAAAAGUUUAGAGGUGACAACUUUCACCACUGGAAGGCCAAAAUGGAGCUACUUUUGGCGUCAUUGGAUCUUUGGAAGAUAGUAGAUGAGGAGGAACUUGCACCUAGGGUAGAGGCAAGCAUCAAGGAGCAAAAGGACUUCAAAAGACGAGAGAAGAAGGCUUUUGGCAUAAUUGCCACCAAUUUAGAUGAAAGCAACUUUGCUCAUGUCAUUUCUUGCAAAGGGGCAGCAGAUGCAUGGAAGUCUCUUUACAAUGUCUAUGAAAGUAGGAAUCUCUCCAAUGUGCUAUGGUCAAGGCAAAAACUCUUCACCGUGAAGAUGGAAGAAGGUGAAGAUCUCAUGGCUCAUGUGAAUAAGGUAAAAGCACUUGCAAACCAACUUGCUGUUGUUGACAAGCCUUUACUUGAAGAAGAUGUUGUGAUGGCAUUGCUCUCAAGCCUUCCGGACUCCUAUUCCUCCCUCAUUGUGGCAUUGGAGUCCAUUUCAAGGAAAGACCUCACUUUGGACUAUGUCACGACAAGACUAGCCCAUGAAGUGACCAAAAGAAAGCAAAAGGAGUCUAUUGGGGAGCAAUCAGCACUAUUUACAAGACCAAGUAAGGCAAGUGCCCCUUUUCAACGUUAUCCUCCUAAAACUUGUUACAUUUGUAGAAAAUCAGGCCAUUUUGCUAGAAAUUAUUUCAAAGCAAAGAAAGGAGAAAGAGAGAAUGCCAACAAUGCUUUUCAUGACCAUGGAGGUGAAGACUUUGCAUUCAUGGCAAAACAAACUCCUUCCAUGCUUGAUAUGAGCAAAUGGAUUGUGGAUUCCGGAUGUACCAAACACAUGACUCCAUACAAGUGUUCAUUUAACACUUAUCAACCAAUUCCAGCAACCAAGGUUUGGUUAGGUGAUAAUGGAAUGGUACAAGCCAUUGGAAUGGGCACCAUUGUAGUGGAGGUGGUGAUGAAGGACAUAAGCAAGAGAAUCACUCUCAAGGAUGUGUUGCAUGUGCCAAAGAUGAAGAAGAACCUCCUUUCGGUGAGUAAACUUGUAACUCAUGGGUGCAAAGUGCAAUUUAACAUGAAUGGAUGUUUUGUGAGAACCAUGGAAGGCAAAGAAGUAGCAAAAGGGACUAGGAAUGGCAAUCUCUAUAUUAUCAAUUGUAAGAGGAUCAAUGGAGUGGAGGUUGCUGCCUUUGCUGAAUUUCCAUCAAAUGAAGACAAGGUGGGCAUUUGGCAUCAAAGACUUGGGCAUUUGAAUGCCAAAAGCAUGAAGGAGCUUCAAUCCAUGGUAAGUGGCUUAGACCUUGGCCAUUCUACCAUGAAUCUUGCUUGUGAGGGAUGCAUUCAAGGCAAACAACAUAGGACACCAUUUCCUAGUGGAGUUGCAACAAGAGCAAACCAAUUGCUGGAGCUUGUGCAUUCAGAUGUUUGUGGACCCAUGAGGAUACCAUCUAUGAGUGGAGCAAGGUACUUUGUCACAUUUAUUGAUGACUUCUCAAGGAAGGUAUGGAUUUACAUCAUCAAGGCCAAGAGUGAGUGUUUUGCCAAGUUUAAGGAGUAGAAAGCACUUGUGGAGAAGCAAUGUGAGCACAAGAUUAAGGUGCUGCGAUCGGACAAUGGAGGUGAGUAUUUGUCCAAACACUUUGAUGAGUUAUUGAAGCAUGAAGGCAUUGCAAGACAAACCUCUACUCCCUACACUCCACAACAAAAUGGAGUUGCUGAAAGAGCAAAUCGCACUAUUGUGGAGAUGGCAAGGAGUAUGAUUCAUGCUCAAAAACUUGGGUAUGAAUAUUGGACGGAAGCUGUGGUAAAUGCCGUGUAUACAAGAAAUAGGUGUCUCACAAGUGCACUUGAUGGAAUGACUCCCCAAGAAGCUUGGACUGGUAAGAAACCUUGCAUAUCCCACAUGAGGAUUUUUGGGUGCAUUGCAUAUGUCAAGGUUCCAGAUAGUAUGAGAGGCAAACUUGAUGCAAAGGGCACAAGAUGUGUAUUCCUUGGUUAUUGUGAAGGUACCAAGGCAUAUAGGCUCAUGUGUUUAGAUACGAAAAAGAUCAUCAAAAGUCGUGAUGUAGAGUUCUUAGAGCAUAAGAGUGGUAGUGAAAAGUGAGAGAUGUGUCCAAGUGGGAGUAGUGGUGUGUUUGUGGACACAUCUUCAAUUCCAGCAAACAAACAAGAAAAUGAAGAAGAGCAUUCUCAAAGUGAAGAAGGAGAGGAAGAUGCCAUGAUAGAAGAGCCCAAUACUAUGAAGACUUCAAUUCCAGCAAGAUACAACAAGGACAAUGAAGAGAAUGAAGAUGAAGAAUACCAACCAAUGAGUAAGACAAAGAACUCCAUGAGCCAUACAAGACAGCAAGAGGUGCAUGAAGGCUCAUCGUCUUUACAAGAAAGAAGAUAUCCAACACAUGAGAGAAGACCACAAGGUGAAUGGUGGAAGAACCACAUCUUUCCACAAGUAAGUGAAGACCAUGCCAAUAUUGCUCUUCUUGAUGAUCCAUUGACUUUGUGUGAUGCAAUGAGGUGUGGUGAUGCAAUGAAGUGGGAGAUUGCCAUGCAAGAAGAAUACAAAUCUCUGAUGGACAAUGAGACAUGGGAGUUGACUCCACUUCCACCAAAUCGAUCAGCAAUUGGAUGUAAGUGGGUGUUUAGAACCAAGAGAGAUGCUAUGGGCAAUGUUGUAAGGUACAAGAGAAGAUUGGUUGCCAAAGGCUACUCACAAGUUGCUGGAGUGGACUUUAAUGAGACAUUUUCACCCGUGGCCAAGUUUACCACCAUUAGAACCAUAGUAGCAAUUGGAGCAUCAAUGGAUCUUGAGAUGCAUCAAAUGGACGUCAAGACAGCAUUCUUGAAUGGAGAAUUGGAAGAAGACAUCUAUAUGGAGCAACCUGAAGGAUUUAUUGAACAAGACAAACACCACCUUGUUUGUAAGUUGAAGAAGUCAUUGUAUGGACUCAAGCAAUCACCAAGAGCAUGGUACCAAUGCAUUGACUCAUUCUUUGUAAAGGAAGGUUUUGUAAGGAGUGAAGCUGACCAUUCUUUGUAUGUAUUGCAAGCCAAGGACUUCUUACUGGUUGUAAUCCUCUAUGUAGAUGAUUUAAUCAUCUUAAGCAACACCAUGGUAAGAUUGGAUUGGUUGAAGAAGAAAUUGGAGGGAGAAUUUGAGAUGAGUGAUUUGGGAGAGCUCUAUUAUUGUUUGGGUGUGGAAUUCACAAGAAGUAGAGAAUCAAAGACCAUCACAUUGAGCCAAAGCAAGUACAUUGAAGAAGUGUUGAAACGAUUCAACAUGGGAGAUUGCAAGCCCAUUGGAACUCCUUUGGAGGCCAACUUGAAGUUGAUGAAGCUCACGGAUGAGGAGUAUGCUGAAGUUGAGCACCAAAUGCAAGGCAUACCAUACAAGGCAGCAGUAGGCUCACUCAUGUAUGCAAUGGUAGGUACAAGGAUGGAUCUUGCAUUUGCGGUAAGUGUUGUAAGCCAACACAUGGCAAAACCAGGUCCUAUGCAUUGGGCAACCAUCAAGAGAAUCAUGAGGUACUUGAAAGGCUCUUUGAACCUCAAACUAUGUCUUGGAGGAGAUAAUAUUGCAUUACAUGGAUAUUGUGAUGUGGAUUGGGCUGGAGAUUCAAACGAUAGAAGGUCAACAACGGGCUAUGUAUUCUUUGUUGGAGUGGGAGCCAUAUCUUGGAAUUGCAAGAGACAACCAACCAUUGCAAGGUCCACAAUGGAGGCGGAGUACAUGGCAGCAAGUCAUGGAGCAAUGGAGGCAAUUUGGUUGAGGUUGUUAUUAGAAGAUAUUGGACUUGUGCAAUUGGAGGCCACUCCAUUGAGGUGUGACAAUCAAGGAUGUCUUGCUUUUGCAAAGAAUCCAAAGCAUCAUGCAAGAACCAAGCACAUUGAUAUUCAGCGUCAUUUCAUAAGAGAGAAGAUAGAAAUGGGGGUUAUUGAUAUGAUGUAUUGUGAAACUAAAGACAUGUUGGCUGAUUUAUUGACAAAAGCCUUAGUUAGAGAAAGACACAACAAGUUGAGUAAGGCAUUAGGAUUGAUAGGUAAUUGAUCAAUAGCAAAGUGGGAGUGUUGAAGGAAAGAACUCUUUAAGUAGUUGCUAAUGGUCAAUAGAGUACAAGUGUUGUUAGGGAUAUCCUAUAAGAUUAGGUUCUGGUCUAUAGUGCAUUAGAGUACAAGGGGAGGGCUGGUCCUUGGAGAUAUCCCAUAUGGGUUGUAGCACUUGGUACCUUGGUACUAGUCUAUAAGGAAAGGGUUGGCAUGGGAAGAAUUAUCUCAUACCACACUCUAUUUGUUAAAGUGCAACCUUGCUGGUCCUAACUUACUUGUGUGGAGUAUGCUUUCUAUGUUUCAACA